This 95-nucleotide transfer RNA is filed under the name Colletotrichum chlorophyti. It matches the Rfam family "tRNA". From Rfam's summary of the family: Transfer RNA (tRNA) molecules are approximately 80 nucleotides in length. Lineage: Eukaryota; Fungi; Ascomycota; Sordariomycetes; Glomerellales; Glomerellaceae. The record is from Rfam by way of RNAcentral.
GGCCGACUGGCGCAAUGGUAGCGCUUCAGACUUCUAUGGCUCAUUCUCGAAUUGUCAUUAUCUGGAGGUUGUGGGUUCGAGCCCCACGUUGGUCA